Molecule: RNA transcript, 2243 nt
Organism: Panicum virgatum (switchgrass)
Lineage: Eukaryota; Viridiplantae; Streptophyta; Magnoliopsida; Poales; Poaceae
Exons: 5
Source: RefSeq, a predicted model, not a curated record
AGGCGGAGGCGGACGCACGCGACGGCGUGCGGAUCUGCAAGGGCUCCGCCGGCGCGGCUGCUGCGGACUGGCCCGCUGUCGGCUCCGCCCGCGGGGCACGGCGUCCGGCGGAGGGGGCAACCGGCGCGCGAGCGGGCGGGCGGAGGGCGCCGCCGGCGCGGCGGACCCAGAGGCCGGAGGCGGAGGGCGGAGCCGGAGGCCGACUCGGCUGCGGCUGCGUGGAGGCGGAGGUCGCGGGCCGCUCGUCGCGCGGGAUUCCGCCGUCCAUAAGAAGAAGAAGCGACGGGAAUCAAUUUUGGCGAGAUUCGAAGGUGGGGCCGGAGCGGCGGCGGCGGCUGCUGCUGCUGCCGCGGCUCCACGGCAUGAGCAGGCGGGGGCUCGCCGGCGACCAGCGUGCACGAGCUGCUGGAGUGCCCUGCCUGUAGCAACUCCAUGUUCCCGCAAAGAGUUCAUGGAGGAUGGAGUGUGCUUGCUUGGCGUGGGUUGAAAUGCUUGGAGGGAAGGGAUGGUCAUCUAAGUUGGAGUCCCUGAGUUGCUCUGGAAGCUGCUCGGUGUCUAGGGGUACAGUACAGCUUGAUGUCAUCUGCACUUGCUCUACGUUUCAACCUGUUUCCAUAGCAUGUCAGUUUGUUGGUUGUCCUUGAUAGAGUAAGAGAUAGUCCUCGUUGGUGCUAUUAUGGAAGAUUAUGGAAGAAGAUGGUCCUCUGUCAAUCUUUUUUGUGGUCCUAGAUAGAUCCAUAGAGGUCCUUUUCUUGUGCAAGUUCAGCCAACGUCAAUUUCCCUACCAUUGUUUAUACUUUAUACUGUCAAUUGGUUGUGCAGUAUCCAUAUUGGUACCUUCCCUUGGCAGACAUAUCUUGUCUAGGAGGAUGGGGAAUUUCUUUGCCUGAAAAUGAUUGCAAAAUAUUUUGAAUACAAUUAUUGAUAGGUAAAAAUAUUUUGAGGCAGCAUGCCUGAAGAAGCCACCAGGUUUCAAGUAAUAAUGAGACUGGUUGCAGGAUGGCUAAACUCAUAUAGAUUUGAUUAUCAUUUAAAAAUCACAUGGAAACUGAUUUGGUUGUGUCUGGUCUGGAAUUAGUGAGCAGGAGCACUUACGUCUGUCAUCUUGUAAUGUUACCAUUAUUUGAUACUAUAAACAAGUAGCAACAUGAAUUUUUGAUAUUGAUGCAAGAAGAAUAUGUUGGGUUUGUUUGCUGAAAUUCUUUGGUUUGUUACCGACUGUUCAUUCUGAGAUGUUCAUAACUAAUUGCAUCUCUUAAAUAGUCAAAUAACUGAAAUGGAUAUACUGUGAGGUUAUGUGCAAUGCUACGCCUUAGUAAUAGCAUUUUUUUUAUACUUAUAGAACGUUAUUUAAGCAUCAAAUGCAAGUUACAGAGAAGAGGCUGAAACUGCCCCAUUGUACAGACUGCAGUGCAUGCCGCACUGGACAGUUGGAAGUGUGAUCCAAAUGGAAGCAGGAGAAAAGGCAGUGAGUAUUGCCAGUAAAUGUUGCUGCCUGCUUAGCCAAUCUAUGUUCCUGGGAAUUUUGCGUCCUUUGGAUCUUGAUGUAUUGCGCGUUCCUGCCUUGGGUGUUCAGCAUGAUUUCUGAUAGUUGAGAUCUGAUCCUGUAAUUUGUUGUUGCCUGAAUAGGGUUGUCACUUGUGAGGGUCUGUAUGAGUAGCUUGCUGUCAGAUAGAUAUGCCAUAUAGGUCGUCAGGUUGAGUGCCUUGGCAACCAAAGUCCCCAACAACAGUGCUUGUGCUUCUGCCUGCAGGACGUCCUCGACGUGGUGCACCUGAGCCUGAAUCAUGAUCGUUUGCUGGAUGUUUGUGGAACAAGAAGAAAGUACAAAAGAAUGCCAUAUCAAAGCAACCGGUGAGCAAGCACAAUUGCCACACACUGCAUCAUGGAUAUGCCAACAUGUUUUUUAAUCCGCUGAUACCUCUGGACUCUGGUGGUGAUACAUCUAUACUUGCAUCACUUCAUUUAGGAUCAGCUUGUGAGAAAGCCACCUCGGGAUGCCUUCCUUGAUGAUAAGUCUUGGAGAAGCUCUAGAUAGGGUCACUGUCGUUUUGGGAAGCAAGUGACAGAUUUAAUCGAAAAAUGCAUUGUAGUUCUUUUUUGGUGCCCGUCUUUGAUAGGUUUUUUGGGUGGUCAUUUGCUGGCUCAAUAUUGGAAUUCAGGUUUUGUUGAUAUAACUAUGGUCAUGCUGUUCUUGGAAGUUUACUUGGGCAACUACCAUAACAUGUUUUUGUUUGGAUUGA